This 468-nucleotide ribosomal RNA is filed under the name uncultured bacterium. RNAcentral describes it as "partial 16S ribosomal RNA". It matches the Rfam family "Bacterial small subunit ribosomal RNA", at positions 28 to 507 of the family's 1533-position model. The record is from RNAcentral.
GACGAACGCUGGCGGCGUGCUUAACACAUGCAAGUCGAACGGAAAGGCCCUGCUUUUGUGGGGUGCUCGAGUGGCGAACGGGUGAGUAACACGUGAGUAACCUGCCCUUGACUUUGGGAUAACUUCAGGAAACUGGGGCUAAUACCGGAUAGGAGCUCCUGCUGCAUGGUGGGGGCUGGAAAGUUUCGGCGGUUGGGGAUGGAAUCGCGGCUUAUCAGCUUGUUGGUGGGGUAGUGGCUUACCAAGGCUAUGACGGGUAGCCGGCCUGAGAGGGUGACCGGCCACGCUGCGCUUGAGAUGCGGCACAGACUACUAUGGGAGGCAGCAGUGGGGAAUAGUGCACAAUGGGCGGAGGCCUGAUGCAGCAACGCCGCGUGCGGGAUGACGGGCUGCGGGUUGGAAACCGCUUUCGCCUGUGACGAGGCGUGAGUGACGGUAAUGGGUAAAGAAGCACCGGCUAACUACGUG